This 66-nucleotide transfer RNA is filed under the name Dielis plumipes fossulana. Its description in RNAcentral is "tRNA-Pro". The record is from RNAcentral. Lineage: Eukaryota; Metazoa; Arthropoda; Insecta; Hymenoptera; Scoliidae.
CAAGGAAUAGUUUAUUAAAAACAUUAAUUUUGGGGAUUAAAAAUAUAAGUUAUUUUAUUUUCUUGA